UUAAACAUAGAAAAAAAUAAAAUUUGCUAUAUCGUAUUGAUAGAUAAAAAUCUCUUAAAACAUAGACUUAGGCCUAUGUAAAGAGAACAUUAGUCUACACAACAAAAAAGAGAUUACACCCUCCCCUAAAAAAAACGAGAACGGUGCUCCUCUCCUCUCUUCAACAGCGAAUGGCCAACUUCCCUCCAUGAAAGCUCACCUCUCACUCUCACUCUCAAAUGGAAUAUACACAGAGAGAAACACCAACGAGUUAAAAAAUAAACUUUUUUUCAAAUCUCAAAGAAAACAAAACAGAUCUAAAUCCGAAGAAAAAGAAAGUGUUCCGAACAAAAAUUUAAAAAAACGAAGAAGAAGAAGAAGAAACUGGAAUUACAGGGAUUGACUUUGAUUUCUCUUGGCUUAGCGUUGAUUUUCUCGGUUUGGUUGAAUUAUUUUGCUGAUGUUCUUCUCUGCUGGGCUUGAGCUUCGAAUCCUCUAUUAUCGGACCUUUACUCGGUCAGUGUUCUGCCAUUAUUUUGUUAUUAGCAGUAGAUAAUUGGCUGUACACCUUCCAUGGAGGCUCAGUUUCCUUUAAUCUAAAAGAUAGUUGCUCUAAAGGCUAUUCUUGUUCAUCUCUUCGCUGCGAUUCUUUAUGUGUAAUUUAGAGUUUCUGUUCAUAUAUAGAAAUGGAGUGCCAUGUGAUAAUAGUUGAAAGUGCAGUUUUUAUAAGUAUGUUAGUUAAAUGGGUGUAUAAACAAUGGUUUACAUGCUUUAUUUUUUGGAUGCCUCACAUUCUGCUGAUUGUUUUAAUUUACUCUUUCACUAUCUGUUCUCUUCCUUUUCCUUCAAUGCCCGAGUUGUCUCUGCUUGAUUAAAUGUUAAACUUGGCAACUCUAGUUUAAUAUAUUUCUAAUACUUAAUGUUAAAAAUAUGCUUUUUUGGUAGUCCAUUUCUGAAAUUCCUAAAGUCAGAUUUUCAUUUUGCACUUUAUUUUGUGCUAGCUUAGGAGAAUAUGCUUGAAUAAAUUAUGCCGGUACAUUUCUUGGGAGUUGAAAUUUUGGCGUCUUUGGAUUUUUAAGAUUCUGAAUAAGAUGCUUAGUUUUAUUGUUGAAAUACUUUGAAUAUUUAUGAUUUGAAAUGUAAAGCUAAUUGUAGUAGUGAUAUGAAAGGGUAUAUGUUUAAAAAUUAUUUUGUGAUAGAGAAGUUUCCCUUAAAAUUGCACAUUGUUAAGAAUGGGACAUGAAUAGAUUAUAUAUACAUGCAUGCACACGGACAAUAGGGUGUAUUGACCUAAGCCAUAUUGAAGUUGAAUAAAGAAACAUCAAACUUUGCGGCAAAUAUAAUUGGUAAAUACGCAAGCAAUUCUUUCGAAAGCAAUAAGCUCUUUUAUUUCAAUAAAUCCAUCUGAAUAAUUUAUAGCCAUCAAAAUUAAAUCUAGAAACUCUUUUGUUAGAAUAAUUUGAGGCGUGUCGUGCCAAAUUAAAUCACAAAAUUCAUAGCCCUCACUUAAUUUUAAUCUUUUAGAAAUCGAGGUGUGUCAUUUAGUUGAAUUUUCUAUAGUCCUCGCAAAUUUGAAAGUGCGUAGCUGCUUUAAGCGCUUUAUUUUACAAUUAAUUUCCUAAAUUGGGUGCGCACUUUAUGUGACUAAAAUGUGUUUCGGAUUGCGAGCGCAUUUCAUGUGAUGCGAUCCAGUUACAUGUUUUAAAUGAAGUUAAAUCUUAUUUAAAAUUAAUUAGAGGCGGUUAAUAGUUUAAAAUAGCACCAUAAGUUAAAACAUGUUUUAAAAAAAUCAGAUAAUAGGCCAAUUAGGAUAGUUUAAGCGACUGCGCUAGAACCACGGAAUCCUAGGGUGCCUAACACCUUCCCUUGGGUUAACAAAAUUCAUUAUUCAGAAUUUCUGGUUCGCAGACUUCAAAGGGAAAGUCGAAAUUUCCUUGAUUUGGGAUUUAAAAUAAACCGUUGACUUGGUACGCCAUAAAUCAAUCCAUGCCAAGUGGCGACUGUGAAUAAAAUUGAAUAAAUAAUCUCAUUUUGAAUAAUGUCACUUAAAUUGAAAAAAUUCUCUUGUACUACCUUUGGGUGGUGUAAAAAAGGAGGUGUGACAAGUUUUGAACGUCGUCUCGGAAAGUCCAAAAUUUGAAUCUUCAACUGAUGACACCCUGACCUCAAAUAAAUCUUCAAAACACUCUAACACCCCGAAGCUUAUCAAAUAAGUCAUUAAUGCGCGGUAGUGGGUACUCGUUCUUAAUUAUAACUUUAUUUUUAGUUGCUUGUAGUCAAUGCACAUCCUCAUAAUACCAUAAUUCUUCUUCACAAAUAGAACCGAUGCACCCCCUAGUGACAUACUGGGAUCUACCCCUUAACUCUAGUUGUGACCAUAUGGGCUCAGGUUAACCUUUAUUGACUUUUGGAAAUUGAAUAAAGAACGAAACUUUAUUGUUUGAAAAUGAUUUCUAUAGACUUGUCUGACAUUUUUAGUUGGUUUUUCAAGCUUUGACCCAUUCAGAGACCAAUUCGAGAGGCAAGUGAUUUUUAGAGUAUUAAAUUUUCACUUAUUUGAGGUAAAUAUCUUUCCUAGGCUUUCUUUAAAAGUAUUUUCUCGUAAGCUAUGAUGUUUUCUGUAUGUUGGGGGUGACACAUGUGAGAGGUGGCGAUCACAUGUGCGGCCACUGUGGUUACUCAUGAUCUGAAAAGGCUUUAGGUUAUUAUAUGUUUUGUUGCUAUUAUGUUUACUGAUAUCAUAUUUUCUCCACCUGUAUGAUAAUAUGAGAUAUUAUUCAUACAAAAAUUGUGUCUAGGUUAUUUCUUAUCUCUUUGAAACAUGAUAUGACUAUUUUUGCUAUGCUGAGCUAUUUGCUUUAACCGUAAUUAUAUUUUUCAAUCAUGAUACUAUAUGCGUGUUAUAUUUCUAUCUCUAUGUAUUCUUUAAAUGUUAUCUCACAUUUUUUUAAUAUCUUUGUGUGAAUGAUAUGGAUUUGAGUUAAGUUUACGUUAGUAUAUUCCACACGGUGUUUUGAUUAUGAUACUACAAGGUAUUGGUAUAUUGAAACUUGAUAAUUUAUGGUUGAUUUUGGGCCAUAGAGUCAUUUUAAGCGGAUCGGUGAUUAAUAUUGGGCAAUCUAGUCGUAUUGAAAUUGAUAGCAAGGUGAUGCUUGCAUCAAGGCUACCAUAUUGGCUGAGUGAUAUUGACGGUUAACUUGAUCCGAUCAACACUUGGAUUAGGAUUCUUUCUUUCCGAGUCAAGCAAUAACCAAUGCUACUUUGGGCCUUGCAAGUGCAGGCACACGAGAUAUGCUUAGAGAGAGACUUAUGGCAAGCAAACCUACAAUGCUAAGUAUGUGUGUGUGAUGAGUCACAUGUAUUAUACUAGGAACCGUGAGGGUGAUAAGAAUAUGAUUGAGGGGUAUUUAUGCCAGACACUAUGAAUAUGUUGAGUUUGUGCAUAAUUGAUGAUUAAACAGUAAUGUUGAUUGUGGUAGGUAUAUUUGACAUAUAGGUAUAGAGUUAUAUUCUCCUCAUGCUAACUGCUAUUUGAUGUCUUUAUUUGAUGUUUAGAGCUUGAAAUCAUAGUUUACUUGAAUAGAUCUCUAUCUAGGUGAUUUAUGUGAAAAGGUUGAUGCCUUUACUGAUUUACCUGAAAAGCAUGCUUAUUUCUCAUAUUAUUGUGUUAGAGUUGACCCGAUAUUAUCUAAGUUGUUUUUCUUAUAACUAUUAUUAUGUUGCUAUUGUUAUUGUAGUUGUUGAAUAUGAGUGUCAGACUUUGCUUAACCUCGUCAGUGCUUUCACCGGGGUUAGCUUGCUACUUACUGAGUACAUGUGAUCGAUUGUAUAUACUCACACUAUACUCUGCAUUGUAUGUCUAGUUCAAGAGUUGGACCAAGUUGAGUAUUGUGACCUGAGUGGUAUUGUGCGAUUGAGAUCGAGGUAAAUUUGCUUCCAAUCGUAGUCCCUAGCGUCUCUUCAUAUCUUUCAUUAUUAUUAUUAUUUCAGACCAUAUUUAGAUUACAGACAUGUAUUCGUAC
This 4001-nucleotide long non-coding RNA is filed under the name Nicotiana benthamiana. RNAcentral describes it as "long non-coding RNA (NBEN_LNC027886)". Lineage: Eukaryota; Viridiplantae; Streptophyta; Magnoliopsida; Solanales; Solanaceae. The record is from RNAcentral.